AAGGGUAUAGCUCAGCAGUAGAGCACAUGCUUAGCAUGCAUAAGGUCCUGAGUUCAAUCUCCAGUACCUCCA
This 72-nucleotide transfer RNA is filed under the name Camelus ferus (Wild Bactrian camel). It matches the Rfam family "tRNA". From Rfam's summary of the family: Transfer RNA (tRNA) molecules are approximately 80 nucleotides in length. Their secondary structure includes four short double-helical elements and three loops (D, anti-codon, and T loops). Lineage: Eukaryota; Metazoa; Chordata; Mammalia; Artiodactyla; Camelidae. The record is from Rfam by way of RNAcentral.